GAUCUGGCUCAGGACGAACGCUGGCGGCGUGCCUAACACAUGCAAGUCGAGCGAGGAGAUCCUUCGGGAUGAUCCUAGCGGCGGACGGGUGAGUAACACGUGGGCAACCUGCCUCAUAGAGAGGAAUAGCCUUCCGAAAGGGAGAUUAAUACCUCAUAACAUUGCAGUUUCGCAUGGAACAGCAAUUAAAGGAGCAAUCCACUAUGAGAUGGGCCCGCGGCGCAUUAGCUAGUUGGUGAGGUAACGGCUCACCAAGGCGACGAUGCGUAGCCGACCUGAGAGGGUGAUCGGCCACAUUGGGACUGAGACACGGCCCAGACUCCUACGGGAGGCAGCAGUGGGGAAUAUUGCACAAUGGGGGAAACCCUGAUGCCAGCAACGCCGCGUGAGUGAUGACGGCCUUCGGGUUGUAAAGCUCUGUCUUCAGGGACGAUAAUGACGGUACCUGAGGAGGAAGCCACGGCUAACUACGUGCCAGCCGCCGC
Molecule: ribosomal RNA, 485 nt
Filed under: uncultured bacterium
Lineage: Bacteria
Description: bacterial SSU rRNA
Rfam family: Bacterial small subunit ribosomal RNA
Source: RNAcentral